Molecule: unclassified non-coding RNA, 339 nt
Filed under: soil metagenome
Description: partial contains 5.8S ribosomal RNA, internal transcribed spacer 2, and large subunit ribosomal RNA
Rfam family: 5.8S ribosomal RNA (bases 1-120)
Source: RNAcentral
GAUGAAGAACGUAGCGAAAUGCGAUAACUAAUGUGAAUUGCAGAAUUCAGUGAAUCAUCGAGUCUUUGAACGCACAUUGCGCCCCCUGGUAUUCCGGGGGGCAUGCCUGUCCGAGCGUCAUUGCUGCCCUCAAGCACGGCUUGUGUGUUGGGCUCCGUCCCCCCGGGGACGGGCCCGAAAGGCAGCGGCGGCACCGAGUCCGGUCCUCGAGCGUAUGAGGCUUUGUCACCCGCUCUGUAGGCCCGGCCGGCGCCAGCCGACAACCCAUCAUCCUUUUCAGGUUGACCUCGGAUCAGGUAGGGAUACCCGCUGAACUUAAGCAUAUCAAUAAGCGGAGGA